This 424-nucleotide ribosomal RNA is filed under the name uncultured bacterium. Its description in RNAcentral is "bacterial SSU rRNA". It matches the Rfam family "Bacterial small subunit ribosomal RNA", at positions 356 to 772 of the family's 1533-position model. The record is from RNAcentral.
GGGGAAUUUUGGACAAUGGGCGCAAGCCUGAUCCAGCCAUGCCGCGUGCGGGAAGAAGGCCUUCGGGUUGUAAACCGCUUUUGGCAGGAACGAAACGGCGCGAGCUAACACCUCGCGCUAAUGACGGUACCUGCAGAAUCAGCACCGGCUAACUACGUGCCAGCAGCCGCGGUAAUACGUAGGGUGCGAGCGUUAAUCGGAAUUACUGGGCGUAAAGCGUACGCAGGCGGCUAUGCAAGACAGAUGUGAAAUCCCCGGGCUUAACCUGGGAACUGCAUUUGUGACUGCAUAGCUAGAGUUUGUCAGAGGGGGGUGGAAUUCCACGUGUAGCAGUGAAAUGCGUAGAGAUGUGGAGGAACACCGAUGGCGAAGGCAGCCCCCUGGGACCUGACUGACGCUCAUGUACGAAAGCGUGGGGAGCAAA